This 253-nucleotide ribosomal RNA is filed under the name uncultured bacterium. RNAcentral's name for it is "partial 16S ribosomal RNA". It matches the Rfam family "Bacterial small subunit ribosomal RNA", at positions 524 to 776 of the family's 1533-position model. The record is from RNAcentral.
UACGAAGGGGGCUAGCGUUGCUCGGAAUUACUGGGCGUAAAGGGAGCGUAGGCGGACAGUUUAGUCAGAGGUGAAAGCCCAGGGCUCAACCUUGGAAUUGCCUUUGAUACUGGCUGUCUUGAGUACGGGAGAGGUGUGUGGAACUCCGAGUGUAGAGGUGAAAUUCGUAGAUAUUCGGAAGAACACCAGUGGCGAAGGCGACACACUGGCCCGGUACUGACGCUGAGGUGCGAAAGCGUGGGGAGCAAACAGG